Molecule: ribosomal RNA, 486 nt
Filed under: uncultured bacterium
Lineage: Bacteria
Description: partial 16S ribosomal RNA
Rfam family: Bacterial small subunit ribosomal RNA
Source: RNAcentral
AUUGAACGCUGGCGGCAUGCCUUACACAUGCAAGUCGAACGGCAGCACGGGUGCUUGCACCUGGUGGCGAGUGGCGAACGGGUGAGUAAUACAUCGGAACAUGUCCUGUAGUGGGGGAUAGCCCGGCGAAAGCCGGAUUAAUACCGCAUACGAACUACGGAUGAAAGCGGGGGACCUUCGGGCCUCGCGCUAUAGGGGUGGCCGAUGGCUGAUUAGCUAGUUGGUGGGGUAAAGGCCUACCAAGGCGACGAUCAGUAGCUGGUCUGAGAGGACGACCAGCCACACUGGGACUGAGACACGGCCCAGACUCCUACGGGAGGCAGCAGUGGGGAAUUUUGGACAAUGGGCGAAAGCCUGAUCCAGCAAUGCCGCGUGUGUGAAGAAGGCCUUCGGGUUGUAAAGCACUUUUGUCCGGAAAGAAAUCCUUGGCCCUAAUACGGUCGGGGGAUGACGGUACCGGAAGAAUAAGCACCGGCUAACUACGUG